AUCGAACGCUGGCGGCAUGCCUUACACAUGCAAGUCGAACGGUAACAGGUCUUCGGAUGCUGACGAGUGGCGAACGGGUGAGUAAUACAUCGGAAUGUGCCUAGUAGUGGGGGAUAACUACUCGAACGAGUGGCUAAUACCGCAUGAGAUCUCCUGAUGAAAGCAUGGGAUCGCAAAACCUUGUUCUUAUAAACCGGCGAAUGGCAUAUUACGUAGGUGGUGGGUUAGAAGCUUACCGAGCCGACGACCGGUAGCUAGUCUGAGAGGACGAUCAGCACACUGGGACUGAGAAACAGCCCAGACGCCUACGGGAGGCAGCAGUGGGGAAUUUUGGACAAUGGGCGAACGCCUGAUCCAGCAAUGCCGCGUGCAGGAUGAAGGCCUUCGGGUUGUAAACUGCUUUUGUACGGAACGAAAAGCCCCGGGUUAAUACCCUGGGGUCAUGACGGUACCGUAAGAAUAAGCACCGGCUAACUACGUGCCAGCCGCCGCCGUAA
RNAcentral lists this ribosomal RNA (497 nucleotides) under uncultured bacterium. RNAcentral's name for it is "partial 16S ribosomal RNA". It matches the Rfam family "Bacterial small subunit ribosomal RNA", at positions 30 to 523 of the family's 1533-position model. The record is from RNAcentral.